UUGGAGGGCAAGUCUGGUGCCAGCAGCCGCGGUAAUUCCAGCUCCAAUAGCGUAUAUUAAAGUUGUUGCAGUUAAAAAGCUCGUAGUUGAAUUUCGGGAUUUGUCGGUUGGUCGGGCUUCACUGUCCGCACUGGCCUGAUGGAUUCCUACCUUCUGAACAACCAGCAUGCUAUUAAGUUAGUGCGUUGGGGAAGCAGAGCUAUUACCUUGAAAAAAUUAGAGUGCUUAAAGCAAGCUUGUGCUUGAAUAGAUUAGCAUGGAAUAAUAAAAUAGGACGGCAUGGUUCUAUUUUGUUGGUUUCUAGGAUCACCGUAAUGAUUAAUAGGGAUAGUUGGGGGCAUUAGUAUUCAAUUGUCAGAGGUGAAAUUCUUGGAUUUACUGAAGACUAACUUCUGCGAAAGCAUUUGCCAAGGAUGUUUUCAUUAAUCAAGAACGAAAGUUGGGGGAUCGAAGACGAUCAGAUACCGUCGUAGUCUUAACCAUAAACUAUGCCGACUAGGGAUCGGACGAUGUUAAUUUUUUAAUGACUCAUUCGGCGCCUUACGGGAAAC
RNAcentral lists this ribosomal RNA (551 nucleotides) under uncultured Acaulosporaceae. Its description in RNAcentral is "SSU rRNA". It matches the Rfam family "Eukaryotic small subunit ribosomal RNA", at positions 548 to 1098 of the family's 1831-position model. Lineage: Eukaryota; Fungi; Glomeromycota; Glomeromycetes; Diversisporales; Acaulosporaceae. The record is from RNAcentral.